GGGAGCAUAGCUCAGUCGGUAGAGCAACGCCCUUUUAAGGCGUCGGUCGUUGGUUCGAGCCCAACUGCUCUCA
RNAcentral lists this transfer RNA (73 nucleotides) under Bacillota bacterium. RNAcentral's name for it is "Firmicutes bacterium tRNA-Lys". It matches the Rfam family "tRNA". Rfam says of the family: Transfer RNA (tRNA) molecules are approximately 80 nucleotides in length. Their secondary structure includes four short double-helical elements and three loops (D, anti-codon, and T loops). The record is from RNAcentral. Lineage: Bacteria; Bacillati; Bacillota. RNAcentral also lists the same sequence under 1 other name.